AACGAACGCUGGCGGCAGGCUUAACACAUGCAAGUCGAACGGGUGUAGCAAUGCAUCAGUGGCAGACGGGUGAGUAACACGUGGGAACCUUCCUAGGGGUACGGAACAACUCUUGGAAACGGGAGCUAAUACCGGAUGUGACCACGAUGCUUGAGGGCAUUGGGGUAAAGGUGGCCUGCAAGGGCUAUUGCCUUGGGAUGAGUUCACGACCCAUCAGGUAGUUGGGGGUAGA
This 232-nucleotide ribosomal RNA is filed under the name uncultured bacterium. Its description in RNAcentral is "partial 16S ribosomal RNA". It matches the Rfam family "Bacterial small subunit ribosomal RNA", at positions 29 to 259 of the family's 1533-position model. The record is from RNAcentral.